UGGAAGAGACAAAGUUGCCCUGACAAGGCCGGAAGCUGAAGCUUCCAACUCGUUUUUGGAGUUCUGCGAUGUGAACUUUCCCCCAGGAGAGGAACUCGCAAAGAAGAGAGCCCUCUGUACUUUGUGGACUUGCACCAUGACUUAGAUGAUUGCUGGAAGGUCUGAUGCAACCAGUCAAGUCUGCUGUUGUAACCUGGAAGGACCCACAGACCUACGUAAAUGAAUGGGCAUGGCUAGUUUCUAAUAAAACUUUAUUUACAAAUACACCCAGUGGGCUGGAUCUGGUCCAUGGGCCAGAUCAUUCUGGUUUCAUUCUUCAGAGCCUCCGCGUGUAUUCGCUAAGCCAGCCUUCACAGCUGUCUUUCCCACCAGGUUCAGUUUGAAGAGCUGAGCUCUAUCUUCGCACAACCUCUGUUUUGUCAGGAGAGAGAGAGAGAGAGA
This is a long non-coding RNA of Hyaena hyaena (striped hyena), 441 nucleotides long. RefSeq lists it as uncharacterized. The record is from RefSeq and is a predicted model, not a curated record. The transcript is spliced from 4 exons. Lineage: Eukaryota; Metazoa; Chordata; Mammalia; Carnivora; Hyaenidae.